UUUUUGUAAUUAAUAUAAAGUCUAAUCUGCCCACUGAUAAAUUAUUAAAGGGCUGCAGUAUUUUGACUGUACAAAGGUAGCAUAAUCAUUUGUCUCUUAAUUGGUGACUUGUAUGAAAGAUUGGAUGAAAUAUAAACUGUCUCAUUAUGAUAAGUAAAAUUUAAUUUUUUAGUAAAAAAGCUAAAAUAAUUUUAAAAGACGAGAAGACCCUAUAGAGUUUAAUAAUUAUUUUUAUAUAAAAUAAAAUAUAAAAAUUUAAAUUUAAAUGAAAAUAAUUAUUUUGUUGGGGUGAUAGAAAAAUUAAAUUAACUUUUUUUAAUAGAUAUACAUUAAUAAAUGAUUAAAUGAUCCAUUAAUAAUGAUUAUAAGAAAAAAUUACCUUAGGGAUAACAGCGUAAUUUUUUUUUUUAGGCCAAAUAAGAAAAAGAGUUUGCGACCCCGAUGUUGGAUUAAGAUAAAAUUUAAAUGUAAAAGUUUAAAGUUUUGAUCUGUUCGAUCAUUAAAA
RNAcentral lists this ribosomal RNA (505 nucleotides) under Troides staudingeri iris. Its description in RNAcentral is "partial 16S ribosomal RNA". Lineage: Eukaryota; Metazoa; Arthropoda; Insecta; Lepidoptera; Papilionidae. The record is from RNAcentral.